AUUUUCCGCAAUCGACGCAAGUCGGACGGAGCAACGCCGCGUGCGGGAAGACGGCCCUCGGGUUGUAAACCGCUUUUGUGAGGGAAGAAGAUCUGACGGUACCCCCAAAGGAAGCACCGGCUAACUCUGUUCCAGCAGCCGCGGUAAUACAGAGGGUGCGAGCGUUGUCCGGAAUUACUGGGCGUAAAGGGCGCGUAGGCGGUUCGGUAAGUAGGGGGUGAAAUUCCACGGCUCAACCGUGGACCUGCCUUCUAGACUGUCGGACUUGAGCACGGUAGAGGCAGAUGGAAUUCCCGGUGUAGCGGUGGAAUGCGUAGAGAUCGGGAAGAACACCAGUGGCGAAGGCGGUCUGCUGGGCCGUUGCUGACGCUGAGGCGCGACAGCGUGGGGAGCAA
This 395-nucleotide ribosomal RNA is filed under the name uncultured bacterium. RNAcentral describes it as "bacterial SSU rRNA". It matches the Rfam family "Bacterial small subunit ribosomal RNA", at positions 361 to 771 of the family's 1533-position model. The record is from RNAcentral.